This 375-nucleotide ribosomal RNA is filed under the name uncultured bacterium. Its description in RNAcentral is "bacterial SSU rRNA". It matches the Rfam family "Bacterial small subunit ribosomal RNA", at positions 523 to 898 of the family's 1533-position model. The record is from RNAcentral.
AUACGUAGGUGGCAAGCGUUGUCCGGAUUUACUGGGCGUAAAGGGUGCGUAGGCGGUUGCUUAAGUGAGAUGUGAAAUACCUAGGCUUAACUUAGGGGCUGCAUUUCAAACUGGGCAUCUAGAGUACAGGAGAGGGAAACGGAAUUCCUAGUGUAGCGGUGAAAUGCGUAGAGAUUAGGAAGAACACCAGUGGCGAAGGCGGUUUCCUGGACUGUAACUGACGCUGAGGCACGAAAGCGGGGGUAGCAAACAGGAUUAGAUACCCUGGUAGUCCACGCCGGAAACGAUGAAUACGAGGUGUAGGAGGGUCCAACCUUCGGUGCCGCAGUUAACACAUUAAGUAUUCCGCCUGGGGAGUACGGUCGCAAGACUAAA